RNAcentral lists this ribosomal RNA (464 nucleotides) under Vreelandella stevensii. RNAcentral describes it as "partial 16S ribosomal RNA". It matches the Rfam family "Bacterial small subunit ribosomal RNA", at positions 338 to 795 of the family's 1533-position model. The record is from RNAcentral. Lineage: Bacteria; Pseudomonadati; Pseudomonadota; Gammaproteobacteria; Oceanospirillales; Halomonadaceae.
CCUACGGGUGGCAGCAGUGGGGAAUAUUGGACAAUGGGCGAAAGCCUGAUCCAGCCAUGCCGCGUGUGUGAAGAAGGCCUUCGGGUUGUAAAGCACUUUCAGUGGGGAGAAAGCCUUGGGGCUAAUACCCUCGAGGAAGGACAUCACCCACAGAAGAAGCACCGGCUAACUCCGUGCCAGCAGCCGCGGUAAUACGGAGGGUGCGAGCGUUAAUCGGAAUUACUGGGCGUAAAGCGCGCGUAGGCGGUCUGAUAAGCCGGUUGUGAAAGCCCCGGGCUCAACCUGGGAACGGCAUCCGGAACUGUCAGGCUAGAGUGCAGGAGAGGAAGGUAGAAUUCCCGGUGUAGCGGUGAAAUGCGUAGAGAUCGGGAGGAAUACCAGUGGCGAAGGCGGCCUUCUGGACUGACACUGACGCUGAGGUGCGAAAGCGUGGGUAGCAAACAGGAUUAGAUACCCGUGUAGUC